UGAGGAAUCCCGUACGCUGACCCGCGACCAACCCCAUGUGAAACCCCUUCGACGAGUCGAGUUGUUUGGGAAUGCAGCUCAAAACGGGUGGUAAAUUUCAUCUAAAGCUAAAUACCGGCCAGAGACCGAUAGCGCACAAGUAGAGUGAUCGAAAGAUGAAAAGCACUUUGGAAAGAGAGUCAAAAAGUACGUGAAAUUGUUGAAAGGGAAGCGCUUGCAACCAGACCUGUCCGCGGGCGAUCAACCUCCGUUCUCGGGGGUGCACUCGCCCGCGAUCAGGCCAGCAUCGGUCCGGGCGGUCGGACAAAGGCCGCGGGAAUGUAGCUCCCCUCGGGGAGCCUUAUAGCCCGCGGUGCAAUGCGACCAGCCCGGACCGAGGACCGCGCUUCGGCUAGGAUGCUGGCGUAAUGGUUGCAAGCGACCCGUCUUGAAACACGGACCAAGGAGUCUAACAUCUAUGCGAGUGUUUGGGCGCGAAACCCACACGCGGAAUGAAAGUGAACGGAGGUGAGAACCCUCGAGGGCGCAUCAUCGACCGAUCCAGAUGUCUUCGGAUGGAUUUGAGUAGGAGCAUAGCUGUUGGGACCCGAAAGAUGGUGAACUAUGCCUGAAUAGGGUGAAGCCAGAGGAAACUCUGGUGGAGGCUCGCAGCGGUUCUGACGUGCAAAUCGAUCGUCAAAUUUGGGUAUAGGGGCGAAAGACUAAUCGAACCAUCUAGUAGCUGGUUCCUGCCGAAGUUUCCCUCAGGA
RNAcentral lists this ribosomal RNA (749 nucleotides) under Herteliana taylorii. RNAcentral's name for it is "eukaryotic LSU rRNA". It matches the Rfam family "Eukaryotic large subunit ribosomal RNA", at positions 213 to 978 of the family's 3401-position model. The record is from RNAcentral. Lineage: Eukaryota; Fungi; Ascomycota; Lecanoromycetes; Lecanorales; Squamarinaceae.